Molecule: small nuclear RNA, 28 nt
Filed under: Arabidopsis thaliana (thale cress)
Lineage: Eukaryota; Viridiplantae; Streptophyta; Magnoliopsida; Brassicales; Brassicaceae
Description: snRNA_05477
Source: RNAcentral
ACCAUGCAUAAUUGCAUCUCUAUAUACA